This 529-nucleotide ribosomal RNA is filed under the name uncultured bacterium. RNAcentral describes it as "partial 16S ribosomal RNA". It matches the Rfam family "Bacterial small subunit ribosomal RNA", at positions 355 to 900 of the family's 1533-position model. The record is from RNAcentral.
UGGGGAAUAUUGCACAAUGGGCGAAAGCCUGAUGCAGCAACGCCGCGUGAGUGAUGAAGGUCUUCGGAUUGUAAAGCUCUGUCUUUUGGGACGAUAAUGACGGUACCAAAGGAGGAAGCCACGGCUAACUACGUGCCAGCAGCCGCGGUAAUACGUAGGUGGCGAGCGUUGUCCGGAUUUACUGGGCGUAAAGGGUGUGUAGGCGGAUGUUUAAGUGAGAUGUGAAAUACCCGGGCUUAACUUGGGUGCUGCAUUUCAAACUGGAUAUCUAGAGUGCAGGAGAGGAGAAUGGAAUUCCUAGUGUAGCGGUGAAAUGCGUAGAGAUUAGGAAGAACACCAGUGGCGAAGGCGAUUCUCUGGACUGUAACUGACGCUGAGGCACGAAAGCGUGGGUAGCAAACAGGAUUAGAUACCCUGGUAGUCCACGCCGUAAACGAUGAGUACUAGGUGUAGGAGGUAUCGACCCCUUCUGUGCCGCAGUAAACACAUUAAGUACUCCGCCUGGGAAGUACGAUCGCAAGAUUAAAAC